GGGGGUAUAGCUCAGUGGUAGAGCGCUACCUUAGCAUGGGAGAGGCCCGGGGUUCGAUUCCCCUACCUCCA
RNAcentral lists this transfer RNA (71 nucleotides) under Angiostrongylus costaricensis. It matches the Rfam family "tRNA". From Rfam's summary of the family: Transfer RNA (tRNA) molecules are approximately 80 nucleotides in length. The record is from Rfam by way of RNAcentral. Lineage: Eukaryota; Metazoa; Nematoda; Chromadorea; Rhabditida; Metastrongylidae.